CAAGGGUAUAAUAUUUGAGACCACAAAUGAUUCUAGAUUUACAAUGAUAUGGAUCAUCUUUUUCCAAUAAAAAAAGAAAAGAUAGCAAUCCACAUGGAAACAAUCUUUUGAUUGUAAUGGAAAAAUCCAAGUAUCUUAAUUAUAUGACAUUCCAGACUGAUUGGUUAUUUUUUGUUGGGAGGUUGUCUUGGUCCUCAAUAAAACCUUUUUUUUUACCAC
Molecule: long non-coding RNA, 219 nt
Filed under: Mytilus galloprovincialis (Mediterranean mussel)
Lineage: Eukaryota; Metazoa; Mollusca; Bivalvia; Mytilida; Mytilidae
Source: RNAcentral